This is a long non-coding RNA of Oncorhynchus keta (chum salmon), 809 nucleotides long. RefSeq lists it as uncharacterized. The transcript is spliced from 5 exons. The record is from RefSeq and is a predicted model, not a curated record. NCBI's taxonomy places the organism in Eukaryota, Metazoa, Chordata, Actinopteri, Salmoniformes, Salmonidae.
UGUAUAUAUGGUCAGUAGUGCGAUGGUGUUUAUUAAUUAGUGUGUGUAAGGUGUAUAUAUGGUCAGUAGUGCGAUGGUGUUUAUUAAUUAGUGUGUGUAAGGUGUAUAUAUGGUCAGUAGUGCGAUGGUGUUUAUUAAUUAGUGUGUGUAAGGUGUAUAUAUGGUCAGUAGUGCGAUGGUGUUUAUUAAUUAGUGUGUGUAAGGUGUAUAUAUGGUCAGUAGUGCGAUGGUGUUUAUUAAUUAGUGUGUGUAAGGUGUAUAUAUGGUCAGUAGUGCGAUGGUGUUUAUUAAUUAGUGUGUGUAAGGUGUAUAUAUGGUCAGUAGUGUGAUGGUGUUUAUUAAUUAGUGUGUGUAAGGUGUAUAUAUGGUCAGUAGUGAGGUGGUGUUUAUUAAUUAGUGUGUGUAAGGUGUAUAUAUGGUCAGUAGUGAGGUGGUGUUUAUUAAUUAGUGUGUGUAAGGUGUAUAUAUGGUCAGUAGUGUGAUGGUGUUUAUUAAUUAGUGUGUGUAAGGUGUAUAUAUGGUCAGUAGUGCGAUGGUGUUUAUUAAUUAGUGUGUGUGAGGUGUAUAUAUGGUCAGUAGUGCGAUGGUGUUUAUUAAUUAGUGUGUGUAAGGUGUAUAUAUGGUCAGUAGUGCGAUGGUGUUUAUUAAUUAGUGUGUGUAAGGUGUAUAUAUGGUCAGUAGUGAGGUGGUGUUUAUUAAUUAGUGUGUGUAAGGUGUAUAUAUGGUCAGUAGUGCGGUGGUGUUUAUUAAUUAGUGUGUGUAAGGUGUAUAUAUGGUCAGUAGUGAGGUGGUGUUUAUUAAUUAGUGUG